GGCAAAAUGAGAGUCCGACUGUCUCUUAUAACAAAUCAAUUAAACUGAUCUCCCAGUACAAAAGCUGGAAUAAUCACAUAAGACCAGAAGACCCUGUGAAGCUUUAACUAAACUAUUAAACCUAAUAAUAACUAUGUUUCGGUUGGGGCGACCUUGGAAUAAAAAAGAACUUCCAAAUACAUGACUUCCUCAUACAAAAGGCAAACAAGCCGCACUAGACCCAGUAUAUCUGAUAAAUGAACUAAGUUACUCCAGGGAUAACAGCGCUAUCUUCUUCAAGAGCCCAUAUCAAAAAGAAGGUUUACGACCUCGAUGUUGGAUCAGGACAUCCUAGUAAUGCAACCGUUACUAAGGGUUCGUUUGUUCAACGAUUAACAGUCCUACGUGA
Molecule: ribosomal RNA, 388 nt
Filed under: Daboia palaestinae (Palestine viper)
Lineage: Eukaryota; Metazoa; Chordata; Lepidosauria; Squamata; Viperidae
Description: partial 16S ribosomal RNA
Rfam family: Bacterial large subunit ribosomal RNA
Source: RNAcentral